GGGUUGGUAGCUCAGUGGUAGAGCAGCGGCCUUUUAAGCCGUUGGUCGUGGGUUCAAAUCCCACCCGACCCACCA
Molecule: transfer RNA, 75 nt
Filed under: Verrucomicrobiota bacterium
Lineage: Bacteria; Pseudomonadati; Verrucomicrobiota
Also listed under: 1 other name
Description: tRNA-Lys
Rfam family: tRNA
About the family: Transfer RNA (tRNA) molecules are approximately 80 nucleotides in length. Their secondary structure includes four short double-helical elements and three loops (D, anti-codon, and T loops). Further hydrogen bonds mediate the characteristic L-shaped molecular structure. tRNAs have two regions of fundamental functional importance: the anti-codon, which is responsible for specific mRNA codon recognition, and the 3' end, to which the tRNAs corresponding amino acid is attached (by aminoacyl-tRNA synthetases). tRNAs cope with the degeneracy of the genetic code in two manners: having more than one tRNA (with a specific anti-codon) for a particular amino acid; and 'wobble' base-pairing, i.e. permitting non-standard base-pairing at the 3rd anti-codon position.
Source: RNAcentral